UAUGUGAUCGUCUCUCGCAUAUCAAUAAGCGGAGGAAAAGAAACUAACAAGGAUUCCCCUAGUAACGGCGAGUGAAGCGGGAAGAGCUCAAAUUUGAGAUCUUAAAGGGUUUCCCUUUACGAAUUGUAGUUUAAAGAAGUGUUUUCUGUUGAGGUUUUGGUAAAAGUUCUUUGGAAUAGGACAUCAUAGAGGGUGAGAAUCCCGUAUUUGACCUUUACUUUCAACUUUGUGAUACACUUUCAAAGAGUCGGAUUGUUUGGGAAUGCAGUCCAAAAUGGGUGGUAAAUUUCAUCUAAAGCUAAAUAUUGGCGAGAGACCGAUAGCGAACAAGUACCGUGAGGGAAAGAUGAAAAGAACUUUGAAAAGAGAGUUAAACAGUACGUGAAAUUGUCAAAAGGGAAGCGUUUGACACCAGUGUUGUUUUUCUGAAAAUCAAUUAAAGGACUGUUUAUGCUAAGCUGUUUAGACUUUAUCAGCUAUCUGUUUAGUUUUGAGCUUUUCUUUAAUGCACUUUUCAGUUAACAAGUCAACAUCAAUUUCUUUUGCUGUAAAAAAGCUUGAGGAAGGUGGCUUGAGAUUCGUCUUAAGUGUUUAUAGCCUCUUGCCUAUGCAGUCGGAGAGAUUGAGGUCUGCAGCGUAGAUCCUUCGGGGCUAAAUGCAUUUGUGCUAAGUUAUAGCAUUUUAUAGACAACUUGUUGACUAUGAUUUGUCUUGUAGCUUACUCGCUUAUGUUAUUUUACCUACGCUUAGGAUGUUGAGCGCAUGUCUCUCUCU
RNAcentral lists this ribosomal RNA (774 nucleotides) under uncultured Neocallimastigales. Its description in RNAcentral is "partial large subunit ribosomal RNA". It matches the Rfam family "Eukaryotic large subunit ribosomal RNA", at positions 24 to 616 of the family's 3401-position model. The record is from RNAcentral. Lineage: Eukaryota; Fungi; Neocallimastigomycota; Neocallimastigomycetes; Neocallimastigales.